Molecule: ribosomal RNA, 250 nt
Filed under: uncultured bacterium
Lineage: Bacteria
Description: partial 16S ribosomal RNA
Rfam family: Bacterial small subunit ribosomal RNA
Source: RNAcentral
UACGGAGGGUACAAACGUUGCUCGGAAUCACUGGGCAUAAAGCGCGCGUAGGCGGUCCACCCAGUCAGAUGUGAAAGCCCUCGGCUCAACCGGGGAACUGCAUUUGAUACUAGUGGGCUUGAGGAUGGUAGGGGUGUGUGGAACUUCAGGUGGAACGGUGAAAUGUAUUGAUAUCUGAAGGAACACCUGUGGCGAAAGCGGCACACUGGGCCAUUUCUGACGCUGAGGCGCGAAAGCUAGGGUAGCGAAC